GAGGGUAUAGCUCAGUGGCAGAGCACAUGCUUAGCAUGCAUGAGGUCCUGGAUUCAAUCCCCAGCACCUCCA
Molecule: transfer RNA, 72 nt
Filed under: Camelus ferus (Wild Bactrian camel)
Lineage: Eukaryota; Metazoa; Chordata; Mammalia; Artiodactyla; Camelidae
Rfam family: tRNA
About the family: Transfer RNA (tRNA) molecules are approximately 80 nucleotides in length. Their secondary structure includes four short double-helical elements and three loops (D, anti-codon, and T loops). Further hydrogen bonds mediate the characteristic L-shaped molecular structure. tRNAs have two regions of fundamental functional importance: the anti-codon, which is responsible for specific mRNA codon recognition, and the 3' end, to which the tRNAs corresponding amino acid is attached (by aminoacyl-tRNA synthetases). tRNAs cope with the degeneracy of the genetic code in two manners: having more than one tRNA (with a specific anti-codon) for a particular amino acid; and 'wobble' base-pairing, i.e. permitting non-standard base-pairing at the 3rd anti-codon position.
Source: Rfam by way of RNAcentral